RNAcentral lists this ribosomal RNA (202 nucleotides) under uncultured bacterium. RNAcentral describes it as "partial 16S ribosomal RNA". It matches the Rfam family "Bacterial small subunit ribosomal RNA", at positions 28 to 219 of the family's 1533-position model. The record is from RNAcentral.
GACGAACGCUGGCGGCGUGCUUAACACAUGCAAGUCGAGCGGUAAGGCCCUUCGGGUACACGAGCGGCGAACGGGUGAGUAACACGUGGGUGACCUGCCCUUCGACUCUGGGAUAAGCCUGGGAAACUGGGUCUAAUACCGGAUAUGACCUGCUCUCGCAUGGGGGUUGGCGGAAAGUCAGUAUUGUAGUGAUGCUGGCGGU